UUGAUCAAUGCAUUUCUCUUCCUGCAACAAAGAGCACUGGGCAUGCGCAGUCAUUGUCAUUGCGGACUGGUGCUGAAGCUGAGAAGGAGACGCGGAUCACAGGAGCUCAGCCGAUUACAUCAUUUUUAUCCAGCAUGAUUGGCUGAAGGUCAGGUCGUUGGCGGACCAUCACGUCCUACCGAAUGCCAUAACAAACCUUGCACCUAACGACAUUUUAACGUAGACGAAAUCUAAAUCGUAAAAAAAUCUGUUGCUCGUUUUGAGAAUGGCCGAGAGUGAGGCAGACACGCCAAGCACCCCGAUUGAGUUUGAGAGCAAAUAUUUCGAGUUUGAUGGAGUCCGACUCCCACCCUUCUGCAGAGGGAAGAUGGAGGAGAUAGCCAACUUCUCCCUCAGAAGUAGUGAUAUAUGGAUUGUCACCUAUCCAAAGUCAGGCACUAGUCUGUUACAGGAGGUAGUCUAUUUAGUGAGCCAAGGGGCAGAUCCGGAUGAGAUUGGUCUUAUGAAUAUUGAUGAGCAGCUGCCUGUUCUGGAGUACCCCCAACCUGGACUGGACAUCAUACAGGAACUGACUUCUCCUCGGCUAAUCAAGAGCCACUUGCCCUAUCGCUUCCUUCCCACUGCUAUGCACAAUGGGGAGUCCAAGGUGAUCUAUAUGGCCAGGAACCCAAAGGACCUGGUGGUGUCCUACUACCAGUUCCACCGUUCCCUCAGGACCAUGAGCUACCGCGGAACCUUCCAGGAGUUCUGCCGCCGCUUCAUGAAUGACAAACUGGGAUAUGGCUCCUGGUUUGAGCAUGUGCAGGAGUUCUGGGAGCAUCGCAUAGGCUCCAACAUCCUCUUCCUAAAAUAUGAAGACAUGUACAAGGACCUGGGGACAUUGGUGAAGCAGCUGGUCAGGUUCCUUGGGGUGUCCUGUGACAAAGCCCAGCUGGAGGGAAUGGUGGAGAGCUGUAAUCAGCUCAUAGAGCAGUGCUGCAACUCAGAGGCCCUCUCCAUCUGCAGGGUGCAUGGAUCCCUAACCUAAAGCCUUGGACAGGGCUAACACACAACUCACACAGCCUAUUUGGCUCAUCAAUAGGACUGUACACAUAUUGUUUAAACAUCAAGGGACCAAGGGUCGUGUGGGGCUGUGGAAAGACAUCUUCACUGUGUCAAUGAAUGACAAGUUUGAUGCUGUUUAUAGACAGAAGAUGGGCAAGUCCGAUCUGACCUUUGACUUCGGCCUGUGAGGACGUACAGAACCCUUCCUCCUUCCGUAUUGAGACUACAUAUUCCACAGUCCUCUGCCUCUAUUCCCCACUCACCUAUCAAUGAUCAAUCAGAAUCUCCACUGAUUAAUCUGUCAAUGGCGCCUCCUACACACGGCUACUAUUCACAACCCUCUAACAGGUAAUCAAUCCAAUAAAUCAAUGGAUCAUUAUCACCUAAAUCUACAAUAAAUUCACUUCAUCAGUCACCUGUUAACAUUGUCAGUCAAAAUUACAAUAAUUAAUUAGUUGUUAUCAGCCAACUUGUUUGAUUAUCAGUGAAAACUUACAUAUAGUCAUUUAGCAGACGCUCUUAUCCUGAGCGACUUACAGUAGUCCAUCUGUGGCCCAAACCUCUUAUCACCACCCAGCCAUCCUAGUGUAUAGCAAGUCUUGAAUGUUUCAAAGAGGAAAUGCAUGGAAUUCUAAUGUGGCGUAGCCAAUAGAGAAUGCGAAGUUACGUCACUGUAAGUUAACGAUACGUCAUGCCGUGUUGCCAUAGACUUAUACACAGUAGACUAACCAAGCCUGCUCUUUAAAGAUGGCCAUUCAUUUCUAUGAAAAGUGCGCAGUAAGGCAAGCGAGAGAGCGAAAUGGACCGCGCCAUCUUUCCAGUUCCAGCUCAUCCGGUCUUGGGCAGAACAGUAUACGCUACAACUAGCUGUACACGUCAUUCUUUUACAAUCAGUUGCGGGCGUGUGAGAGAGUUAUAAAAAUGGCAGAAUGGGGUACAAGUCCGAUCAAGAAGCCGAUACAUCAUGUGAACUUUACGUAAAUCAAUGCUAUUAGUACUGUAUAGUAGUCCUUUCACAUGUUUUGUAGAAAUAUAGGCCUAUUCUAGAUGGAACAUACGUUCCACAUACGACUCAGACUCACCACAUAUACGUUGUUCUUUUUGCUUCGUGUUUUUAGUAUGACUGCUUAAGUAUUGUGUUGGAUUAAAGAAACUGUAAAUUUGAAUAUCUGGCUCUGUCGUUGUUCUAGCUUGGCAAAGCAAGCUCAGUUAAAUAGGCCUAUAUAUGUUACUAUUAUGAUGAUGUGUUGCUUUACUAUUACUAGCUUACUGUUACGGUUAAUGCCAUCAUUGUGGUGUUAACUGACAUGACGUUGCAUGACCAUAACAAUAUUGUGGUUAUCAGACAUGAUUUAUUCAUCUUUGACUUUGCUCCAGAAGAACAUGUCAACAAUCUAUAAUGACGCCUUAACAUGCCACAAUAUCACUAAUUAUAUUAGGCUACAAUUAUGUUUGUCAUGCCAUGAACAUAAUAACGUUCAUUACAAAAUUGUUAAAUCUGCUUUAAAAUAACAGAAAUAAACUCUAUAAACAAC
Osmerus eperlanus (European smelt) is the source of this 2579-nucleotide RNA transcript. It is a transcript of the gene named sulfotransferase family 4A, member 1, with no coding region annotated. The transcript has 8 exons. The record is from RefSeq and is a predicted model, not a curated record. NCBI's taxonomy places the organism in Eukaryota, Metazoa, Chordata, Actinopteri, Osmeriformes, Osmeridae.